ACGCUCGACACCUACGGGGCAGCAGUCGGGAAUAUUGCGCAAUGGAGGAAACUCUGACGCAGUGACGCCGCGUAUAGGAAGAAGGUUUUCGGAUUGUAAACUAUUGUCGUUAGGGAAGAGAAAGGACAGUACCUAAGGAGGAAGCUCCGGCUAACUACGUGCUAGCAGCCGCGGUAAUCUGAGCGGGCUGGCAAGGC
Molecule: ribosomal RNA, 197 nt
Filed under: uncultured bacterium
Lineage: Bacteria
Description: partial 16S ribosomal RNA
Rfam family: Bacterial small subunit ribosomal RNA
Source: RNAcentral